AUAGUUUUUAAAAGUUGAAAACUUAUUUUUCAUUUCACUUUUUCAAAAAUGAGGUAAGGCAUAACAAGAGGUGAUUUUUUGUACUUUUGGAGAUUUUCAUCUUUGGCGACGGUGAAUACUUGUUCCAUCAGUGCAGAAGCAGCUGCACCUGCAACAACACCAACAGUAGCACUCACACCGACCUCUAAGGCUGUAGUUUGGGGCAGGCUGUAAUGAUCCUCCAAGUUAUUUUCUAUAGUUUUGCUUAUUUUUGAUAUUUAGAUCUUUACUAUAUCUUCCCCAAGUCAUUUUUGACUUGCUCAAAUUGACAGUUCAGUUACCGAGCAGUUUGUUUCAUGUUUAGAGUCAAUUUCUUAUUUUGAAGCC
Molecule: long non-coding RNA, 366 nt
Organism: Capsicum annuum
Lineage: Eukaryota; Viridiplantae; Streptophyta; Magnoliopsida; Solanales; Solanaceae
Exons: 2
Source: RefSeq, a predicted model, not a curated record